This 407-nucleotide ribosomal RNA is filed under the name uncultured bacterium. RNAcentral's name for it is "partial 16S ribosomal RNA". It matches the Rfam family "Bacterial small subunit ribosomal RNA", at positions 28 to 526 of the family's 1533-position model. The record is from RNAcentral.
GACGAACGCUGGCGGCGUGCCUAAUACAUGCAAGUAGGACGCAGUUGCGAACGGGUGAGUAACGCGUAGGUAACUGGCGAGUAGAGGGGGAUAACUAUUGGAAACGAUAGCUAAUACCGCCUACUUGUAGAUGGACCUGCGUUGUAUUAGCUAGUAGGUAGGGUAAAGGCCUACCUAGGCGACGAUACAUAGCCGACCUGAGAAGGAGAACCGCCACAACGGGACCGGGAAAAUGCCCAGACGCCCACGGGAGGGCAGCGGAGGGGAUCUUUGGACAUGGGGCGAACCCCGAACAAGCACAGCCGCGUGAGUUAAGAAGGGCUUUGGAGCGGUAAGCUAUGUUGUGAAGGAAGCGGUACUUAAAGAGAAAGGGACGGCUAACUACGUGCCAGCAGCCGCGGUAAUAC